GUCAUGCACGUGGGUGCGGUGGCUCGCGCACACGUGCACAUAGAGCCCACUGAGGGCACGGUGGUCGCUCUAAUCCGUUUAUUUUUGCGACUUUGUAUAUCAUCUAGCCCAUGUUAGACCUGGGUUAUGUAUCAUCAAGAAAUUAGUCUUUGGGGAAUCGCUGGCACAUCUACGUGAUAACAUUGAUGGAGGAGUCUACAACGUAACCAUCUUUCGACAAAUCGUUCUUCCAUCUUCCGUGCCUUCUCCAGCACCUUUCAUUUACAGAUGUUCUUGCUGCCAUGGAUGCUCCUCCAGCCCUCAACCAGUGCAAACCUACAUGUACAUAGGGCUUCACCAGCGAAGAGGACUGGUGGUCUAUGCGUUUAUAUGUCUGUGGCAUGCGCAAAAUGGGAAAACAGGACGUGACAAGAUUUGGAAUGCUCCUUGGCAUGUUAGUAUUACAAACAAAAGACAAUGAGUUUCUAGCCACACAACUGCAUGUGUGCACAAGAUUUGAUGGAAAAUGGUGUCCUGUAUGCAGAGUUGUUUAGAGUAUGUGUUGGAGGUUCCUUUCGAGUUCUGUGAUGUUUUCCACCAGACAUUUUACCCACUUGGUGAUGUGCAGUCAGGAUGGGAGGGUGAGACCAUCUUUAUGCUAUGGUCAAAACUUGGCAGCUUUUCAGCUAAGCACACGUUUUGUCCCACACCACUUUGUGUGUCUAGUUCCUCAAGUGUGUGAACAUCAUGAUGGUGAUAAUGAAAGCCAAACAGCAGAAAGCCUCGAAAAAGAACAAAUCCAUGCCUCAAAAUGUCAGUGUUACGUCACGCACCGGUUCCAUCCAUGGCUCCAGAACAAAUGGAGAGUGGAGUUGUCAUACUACAGAGGAGCCUAAUGCAGCUAGUCCUAACCAAGAGAAGUCUCUUCACGAGGCAUGGAGUUCACCAGCCAGUCCUCAGAAGGAGCAAACAUCUCACCAGGAACCCAGUUCACCAGCCAGUCCUCAGAAGGAGCAGACUCCUUACCAGGUACCCACUUCACCAGCCAGUCCUCAGAAGGAACAGACAUCUCAUCAGGAACCCAGUUCACCAGCCAGUCCUCAGAAGGAGCAGACUCCUUACCAGGAGGAAGUCAUUAAAAGAAAACGAUGGAGCAAGGACAGGCCAAUGAGUGGGCAGCAUCAGUGGAGAGCACAGAACCUGAAGCGGGCUCAAGAGAGACUCAAGUUCCAGUGAGCACCCAAGUGACACCCACUCUGACAGUGAUGAGGAGCAAGAACAGUGGAUGGAGGAAACAGCAGGUGUUAAAGGUGAUAGCAGCAUGGUUGGUCCCCUUCCUGUUGGCUCAUUUUCUGGCAUCACUGAAAGAGUAAGGUGAUAGCAGCGUGGUUGGUCCUCUGCCUGUGUGCUCAUCCUCUGGCAUCAGUGCCCCAGGAGAAUUUGGGAAGGCCUCAUUGCCAGGUGAAUGUACUGCCACAGCUGUCCUUGAACAGCUGAACGUUGAAGCUGGCUAGCAUCAUGGUUUGAGUGGACUGGCCAAUGAAAUCUCCAAAGUGAAGAGGCAGGUUACGUCAUAAGUAGCACAGACCUCCUCACAUGAAAACUGUGGGUAUGCCCUAAGAGAAGCCAAUGCCAAUGUGAAGAGCGCCCUUGCCUCCUUCAACCUGGAGAGAAGGAAGCUGGAGGACAAGAUUCUAUGGGACUUCACAGAGAUGAUUCAUGAAGAAGUAACUCAGAUAGAUGCCAGUCUUUGCCCUCCAUCACUG
This 1745-nucleotide long non-coding RNA is filed under the name Acanthaster planci (crown-of-thorns starfish). RNAcentral's name for it is "uncharacterized LOC110986172, transcript variant X3". Lineage: Eukaryota; Metazoa; Echinodermata; Asteroidea; Valvatida; Acanthasteridae. The record is from RNAcentral.